This is a long non-coding RNA of Mya arenaria, 420 nucleotides long. RefSeq lists it as uncharacterized. The record is from RefSeq and is a predicted model, not a curated record. The transcript has 3 exons. NCBI's taxonomy places the organism in Eukaryota, Metazoa, Mollusca, Bivalvia, Myida, Myidae.
UAUUUGAUUUACUUGAUUUUAUUACAGAUUGUACAGUUCCUAGUAAUGAGAAAUGGCUAGAUGUUAUACAAUAUCAUACUUCAUGAUGUCACCAACAAUGUCAUGUUCUGAGUAUUGGGAAAUAGUUGGAGACUCAGCAGUGCAGAAACUAGUUUACUCAGAAUGUUUGUUCCAACUCACGGAUGAUAUUGUCAGAUAAGAGCACAUUGGCAAGUUGCAGACGUUGACUUUCUGAAUUACAGAAAAUAGUUUCAGUCAGGAUACCAGAAAGCAUCAGGACUUCCAGGGCAUGGCUAUAGCUCCUCCUGAAAGAACAUUAGAAACACUUGAUUAUUUGUGUGAAAUACUUUGAAAUAAAAAAGACUCUUUUUGCAUGAUUUAAUUCCUAAAGAAAAUCAAUAAACCUGAAGAAUGAUUUAU